RNAcentral lists this long non-coding RNA (2077 nucleotides) under Camponotus floridanus (Florida carpenter ant). RNAcentral's name for it is "uncharacterized LOC105252234". The record is from RNAcentral. Lineage: Eukaryota; Metazoa; Arthropoda; Insecta; Hymenoptera; Formicidae.
GCAACCGGCCGGCCCGACUCGGCGCAUUCGUAAACAAACCCUGGUUCAGUUCGGAGCAGCGAACACCCGAAGACCCCCUCACCCUUCACCAUCAGUGUAACACACUUGGGCUUCUUAUUUCAUCGAGACCGCCGGCACGGGAAAAUGUAGGCGAGCGGGCACCAGGUGCGGAGCGCGACAGUUUACCUGCACCCUACGGGGUCGGUGCUUGAACAAUCCGUACGCGAAGACAGGCGUGAAUUAGAGUUCGAAACCUUCACACUUUGAACAAAUAUGAAAAGAGAACUUCGAGAUAUAGUUUAGAGCAGACUCGUAGUUUGAUCCAAAACCGUCGGCAUCAUCUGCCUUCUCUAAUACCGCACACUGAGGCACAGCAUUGGAAACGUUGGAAUCAAAAAGCAAAAAAUUCAAACAUGUAACGUAAGCCACAUCAACUCUAACAAAGACGAGAGAGGGAGAAAGAGCGAGCGAAGGGGCUAGUGGGAGAAAGAGAGAAAGAGAUUCUCUAUUCGCGGUCGAGUCCGCGAAUGAGAGAGCAGGGCGAAUGUUAAUGUGGGUCUCGGCUCGGUCAAGCGUACCUUUUUGGGCGCCGUGACAGUUAGUACACCAUCCGAGGAGAGGGUCGAGGUGACGUUGACGAGAUCGUGAGAAGGUGGCAGGACGUAUCUGCGUACGAAGUGCCUGCUGAUGUAGCCGUGCUCGUCUUGCCUCUCCUCGUGCUUGGCCUCGACAAUAACGUAGUUGUCGACCGUCUUCACCGUGAUCUCGUCCGGUGAGAAUUGUUGUACGUCCAAUAUCACCUGCGGAUCAGAGAGAGCGCGGCCCCGUAAGGAGGCCCCGGGAAUUAUUAGCUUCAUUCAGGAUCCUCUUUCCAAGAGCGUCAUCAAGGACAGAAAUUUCGCAUUCUUCUAAGAGCAAAGCGCACAUCAUCGUCCUGACUAUGCAUCUAUAGAGCGCAAGUUAAGUAUCAUCCCCUCUGAGCGGGUUUACUCCGAAAGUUAUGCUCGAAUUUUGAGCGAUAAGGCCAAUUUGAUUUUGUUCUCGUCUCACAAAUUAGCACUUAUUUUUUGUGUUUCUCCUUUGAAUCACAUUCUUCUUCGGAAGAGGAUCUCGAACGUCAUGCGUCCAUAGCGCGCAUAUAAAUCAUUUAUAUAAUACACACAUAUAAAACAUUAUAAAUCGUAAUUAAAACAGAUCUACUUUGCGCACAAUCGUACCGGCAAACUAUUUGGAGCAGCGCUUCGUUUAAUUUGCAUUCGUUCUUCCGUGAUUAGGGAGUCGCCGGGGCCGAUUCCGCCGGUCAGGCCCGGUUGUUGGAGUUUCUGCGACGAGAAAUAAAAAUGACAAUUCGGCCAACGUUCUAGAUCCGUCUCGACCGUCAAAUAAGCGUGUCGUAGACUCUUCCUACUUUGAAUUUUUCAAUUUUCCACGACCUUUUCAUAUGUAAUCCCGCCGCGUUUCUUUAGAUCACCGCGCGUUAAAGCGCGUUAAAUGGUACAAAAGUAAAUCGGGAAGAUGUAGUUGUCAGGUACACCUACUUGUGUGACAUUGUUCCUUUUUUUUUCGAGAUCAAAAAAACGAGCAUACAUACAAGUAGGUGGUUAUUUGUACUUAUCGUGAGUACCGCACGGUCGUGUCGGGAGCGAUCGGUCGCGACCGCGGUGGCCGAUCCUUUUCGCGGCCGGCGGUUCGCUCCUUGAUGGGAAUGAAAAAAAUUGCAACAUACAAAAAUUUUUAAAAAAUAAUAGCUCAGUUAGAUAACACUCCGGCAUAGAGAGCAAGGAAGCUUCAACGACCGACGGUAAUAAAAUAGGCGAGCCGAGUUUCUCCGGGUGAUCCUGCGUGAUCCUGGAACUCGGUGAGCGCGAGCGCGAAGUAAGUUAGUGGAGGAUGAUUGGCUGUGCAUUUCGAAAAUAGUACCAAAAAAAAAAGAAUAGAAGAGAAGGAGAAAGAAGUUAACCGGAUUAACCGAUCCGUAAACAGUCGACUCGAGUGCUGCGCGCAGAGCGACAUAUUUUGUACAAAUAAAGAAAUAAAAAAGCUAAAAAGAUUCCGUGUAAGAGGAAAAAAACCAAAA